This 86-nucleotide transfer RNA is filed under the name Lewinella sp. RNAcentral describes it as "tRNA-Ser". It matches the Rfam family "tRNA". Rfam says of the family: Transfer RNA (tRNA) molecules are approximately 80 nucleotides in length. Their secondary structure includes four short double-helical elements and three loops (D, anti-codon, and T loops). RNAcentral also lists the same sequence under 1 other name. Lineage: Bacteria; Pseudomonadati; Bacteroidota; Saprospiria; Saprospirales; Lewinellaceae. The record is from RNAcentral.
GGAGGAAUGGCAGAGCUGGUUUAAUGCACCGGUCUUGAAAACCGACGUACCGAAAGGUACCGGGGGUUCGAAUCCCUCUUCCUCCG